This 422-nucleotide ribosomal RNA is filed under the name uncultured archaeon. Its description in RNAcentral is "partial 16S ribosomal RNA". It matches the Rfam family "Archaeal small subunit ribosomal RNA", at positions 323 to 746 of the family's 1478-position model. The record is from RNAcentral.
CUACGGGUUGCAGCAGUUAAGAAUAAUCUACAAUGCGCGCAAGCGUGAUAGUUUGAGCCAAAGUGCGUUUCAAAUUGAAAUGCUUUUGUGGAAUGCAAAAAGUUCCACGAAUAAGGACUGGGUAAGACGAGUGCCAGCCGCCGCGGUAAUACUCGCGGUCCAAGUCGCAGCCAUUUUUAUUGGGUCUAAAACAUCCGUAGCUUGCUUGAUAAGUCUCCUGUGAAAUUUCGCAUCUUAAGUGCGAAGCGGGCAGGAGGUACUAUCAGGCUAGAGACUGGGAGACGUAAGAAGUACAUUCAGAGUAGCGGUUAAAUGUGUUAAUCCUGGAUGGACUCACAAUAGCGAAGGCAUCUUACGAGAACAGUUCUGACAGUAAGGGAUGAAGGCUAGGGGCGCAAAUGGGAUUAGAUACCCUCGUAGUC